This 481-nucleotide long non-coding RNA is filed under the name Salmo salar (Atlantic salmon). RNAcentral's name for it is "lncRNA (ENSSSAG00000088888.1, ENSSSAG00020058575.1, ENSSSAG00075034578.1)". Lineage: Eukaryota; Metazoa; Chordata; Actinopteri; Salmoniformes; Salmonidae. The record is from RNAcentral.
UUAUCAAUGGUGCGAUGACAGGGUAAUUGUUUGUUUUGUUCAUUAAAAAAAAGUGAGAGGAAGAAAACGUUGCUCCACAUGGAUCACUAACCGGGUACGCGCGCGACAAUCACAUUGACAACCGAGAUGAGGGGAGGAAAAACUAGGCCUACCAUGUGACUGAAAUAGUGUAUGUACAGAGGAAAACAGUUUAGGAGAGCAUGAUAUCUAUUUACCAGGUCAGGUGAGGCAAGUGGCUAAGGGUUAGAUAUUUUGUCCCAAUGGCACUUUACGCGCGGACAUAAAUCAGUCGUUUCAGCACCAUGGAUAGCGAACGGAGACUCGCGCAGGUAAUCAUAGAAAUGCGGUCGGAAAUCCGGAAAUUGGAGUUAGAGAACAUGGGGCUGAGAAGAGUUGGAAACAAGUUAAGAAGGAGUACUACCGCCCCUACAUUAGUGGCCGAAUACAAAAAAACAAGACGCCAUGAGUAACUUGGUGAAAA